RNAcentral lists this ribosomal RNA (253 nucleotides) under uncultured bacterium. Its description in RNAcentral is "partial 16S ribosomal RNA". It matches the Rfam family "Bacterial small subunit ribosomal RNA", at positions 524 to 776 of the family's 1533-position model. The record is from RNAcentral.
UACAGAGGGGGCAAGCGUUGUUCGGAAUUACUGGGCGUAAAGGGCGCGUAGGCGGCCUUCUAAGUCGAACGUGAAAUCCCCGGGCUCAACCCGGGAACUGCGUCCGAUACUGGAAGGCUUGAAUCCGGGAGAGGGAUGCGGAAUUCCAGGUGUAGCGGUGAAAUGCGUAGAUAUCUGGAGGAACACCGGUGGCGAAGGCGGCAUCCUGUACCGGCAUUGACGCUGAGGCGCGAAAGCCAGGGGAGCAAACGGG